Molecule: long non-coding RNA, 1725 nt
Filed under: Citrus x clementina
Lineage: Eukaryota; Viridiplantae; Streptophyta; Magnoliopsida; Sapindales; Rutaceae
Description: Citrus clementina (C. clementina) long non-coding RNA (CCLE_LNC001907)
Source: RNAcentral
AUAUUAAAAAAUAUAAAAUUCGAGUAUUCGGAUUAAAACCCGGUCUGGACCCAGACCCGAACCGAUUGCAUCCGGACAGGAUCUGGCCAUUGCAAUACCCGAACCCGGCCCGGGAUUUUGCCAUUUCUAAUGAGGAGGGCAACUGCUUCUAUUGAUUUCAUAUGAAUAAAUGAAAAACAAAUAUUUUAACCGUCAAGGUUUGUCAAAAAAAUUAAAUAAAUAAAUAAAAUAAAAGGCUAGCAUCCAUAAACAUAAAUUAAUCAAAUAAUGAGGGGUUUUGGUCGUUGGCCACUAGGGAGUUUGCUGGUAGGGUCAAUCUGCAAUGAAUAACUAGUGGUGCAGAGGCUUGAGGCGGUAACAACAGGUGGCUGGGGUUAUAGAAAAUUUUUUGAUUUAUUUUACUUAUAAUUUUAUUUGUAAUAAGGGCAAUUUUAGAAAUAAAUGAACUUAUUUAAAAAGUGGAGGCUACUAAGAGAUAUCGAGAGGGUUAAAAUAUCACCACUCUUCAAUUAAAUUUCUGCCACUCGAGCCAUAGCUUAGUAGUAAUCUAAACUCUUUAAUCUUUGAUUUAGAAAGUGGGUUUGAGAACCAAAAUAAUGAUUGGGCUAAUUCUGCCAUAAUGGGAUAAAUGUAGAUUUUUUUUGUUCUCACAAAUAUAUGUCUCCUGACUAUUAAUGGGUUCAAAAUUUAGAUUGUAUCAUAUUAGAAUUGAUAUUAGAAUUGAUUCAAUGUGUCGUAAUAGAAUUAAUUUAGGCAAGUCAAGUAGCUGAUUAUAAAAAUUUCAGUUAAAAAAGAAGAGCUCUUUCCUUAGUAAGGAAGGUGAGCUUGAUGAAAUAAAAAUCUUGAAGAAAAAGUCAGCCAUGAUAGAAUAAUAAAGUAAGAGAAGGGAAUUUGCGGAAGUAAGAGGAAAUACAGGAAAUUUGUUUUCAGGUUUGGGAUGUGAAGCUAACCAAAUCAGAUUUUAGGGGAGGCACUAUUAGAUUUGUGCAAGUUGGAACUCAAGCUGCUUAAUAUUAUUGAAUUAAAAAUAAAAUCAAAAUUAACAGAAGUAGCUGACUUUUUUUUUUUUUUUUUUCCAUUUGCAACCAAAUUUACAAAUGAUUACAACAUUUUCCCAUAAAAAUUAUCUUAGAGUGGAGUCCUAAUCAUAACAUAACUGAUCCAAUAUGUGGUAGAAAGAAAGUUCAGCUUUUCAGUGUUUUCUUUUUUGAUUGAUAACUUGGAAGCAAAACCAUGGCCGUAAAAUGGGACACUUAAAUAAGGGACCAUAUAUAAAGAAAAAGUGAAAGUGGCGUGCCCAACUUCAUUAGUUCCAGCAACUUUUCUCCACUCAACAUCAGAUCAGAUGUUUGGCAAGCAAAUUAUUGCUCUGUUAGUAAAUUUUUGUCAUUAAAAAGGGAUGAUAGCCCUACCAUGAAACUAUAAUUGAAGCAAAAAUGCAACGCCCAAAUUAGAGAAAGAGCUAUUUUUGUGAGUAGUAAGUUUGACCCAUUGUUUAUUCUGGCUUUAUAAACACAAUAGCCAUCUAUGACCUAUGAAAGAAAAGGAAAAAAAUAAGUAUUUAGGAAAAAAUAAAAGAAUACCCUUUAAUACUUCACCUAAAUGAUGUCCUGCAUCUAGCAUAAUUAGGACACUUACACAUCUUAAAUUGGGGAGAAUGGUUAUGUAGACCCCAAAUUUUCAAUAAAGACUAUCAAAACUCUCUUUUAACUAUAAUACCCUUUA